GGAGGGGUGGCCGAGUGGUUUAAGGCAACGGUCUUGAAAACCGUCGUGCGGGCAACCGUACCGUGGGUUCGAAUCCCACCCCCUCCGCCA
RNAcentral lists this transfer RNA (90 nucleotides) under Nitratireductor sp. Its description in RNAcentral is "tRNA-Ser". It matches the Rfam family "tRNA". From Rfam's summary of the family: Transfer RNA (tRNA) molecules are approximately 80 nucleotides in length. The record is from RNAcentral. Lineage: Bacteria; Pseudomonadati; Pseudomonadota; Alphaproteobacteria; Hyphomicrobiales; Phyllobacteriaceae.